ACAGAGUGAAGAAAAACCCUGUGAAUGCAAACAAUGGCAAAACUCUCAGUUCCUUAAAUUACACGAAGGAAUUCAUACAGGCGAAAGACCAUAUGAAUGUAAAUAAUGUGGUAAAGCUCUUAGUUCUUUCAAGUCUGUAAAAGACUUGAAAGAACUCACACUGGAAUAAAAUAUGUAAACAAUGAGGUAAAACCUUCAUCAUCACUGUUCCCUUCAAUUACAGGAAAGAAUUCAUAGUUGAGAAAACUCUGUAUGUAUAAACAAUGUAGUAAACCCUCCAGAUUUACCUUGAAGACAUGAAAGGACUUGUACCAGAGAAAAAUCACUAUGAAUGUAGACUGUGGUAAUGCCUUCAGAGAUUGCAGUUCCCAUUAAGAAAUAUUGAAAGAAAUAAUUCAAGAGAAAAUGUGAACAGUACAGUAAAACUCUUAAGUUGUUCUAAUCUUAUGAAUAAGGAAAAUUGUGGCAGCCUUCAGUUUUUUCAGUUGUUUUUGAGAUUAUGGAAGGAUCUCAUUGAGCAAAGCUCAAUGAGUAUUAGAAGUGUGUUAUGGUCUUUAGUUGUUCCAGUUCCAUUUGAAGACUUGAAAAGACUCAUUCUGGAGAAGAACCCUGUUAUUGAGUGGAAUAUGGGAAUGGCUUCAUGUUUCUCACACCCCAUUCAAAGACACAUGAGAAUGCAUGCUGGAGAUAAAUCUUGUAAAUAUAAGAAUGGACACUGGAUUGAGCCCCUAGUGGUUUGGAAAAUAAAGAUUUUAACAAUAACAUUAAUAGUCAUGACAGCUUUCCUUGGAAAGAAAUCCUGCAAAGCCUAAUGGAAAGUCUUCUGGUGUAAUAACGCACGUGGGACCAGGUGCCGUGGCUCACAACUGUAAUCCCAGCUCCUCAGGAAGCACAUAUUGGAAGGAUCUGGGUUCAUGGCCAGCCCCACCCAAAACUUGGUGAGACAACAACAAAUGAACAACAACAAAAAACUGGGCAUUGUGGUGCUCCUUUGUCCUCCCAGCUAUGUGGAAGGUGUGUGGAGGAGGGUCAUGGUCCAGGUCAGCCUGGCCAAAAGUGUGAGACUGGAAAAAUAAGUAAAGCAAAAAGGGUUUGGAGUUAUGGCUCCAGUGUUAGCGUGCCUGCUUAUCAAGUGUGAGGCAAAAACCAAAAACAAACCCACUACCAACAAACCAAAAACAAAACACUAAGAGGUGUCAUUUCCUGUGAUUAUAGUGCCAUCAUCUGGGAUCCCCUUUACAGGGUCAGAGGCUUUUUUCCAUUAUAGAUUUGUUUGCAAGCAAGCAAAAACAUGAACAUUCCUCUCUUUUAAAGAAAACCUUUUGCUAUUGGGGGUCUGAGUUUUCAAACUGUUAAAGGAGCUUGUUGAGGUUGGCAGUAGCUUCUGCUAAACCCUUUUCUGUGAACUUGCUUGGGCUUCUUUCCCUUGUGCAGUGUCUUUUCUCUUGCCUCUUCAUCAGCUAUGCAUUUCAUAGGUGGUAGAAAUUUUUCAGCCCCCUUGAUAAGGUGACGGAUGACUCUUGUGUAUGUGAUCCAUUGUUACCCAAAAUGUUAUGCAGCGCAUGGCUGUGUUCUUCAAGCAGUAGUGCCUGAGUUGAAUAGGUAGUGAUUUUUAAGUCAGUUAAUAAAAAUUUUCUCUACUUUAAAAUGUGUUGGAUC
Molecule: long non-coding RNA, 1659 nt
Filed under: Castor canadensis (American beaver)
Lineage: Eukaryota; Metazoa; Chordata; Mammalia; Rodentia; Castoridae
Description: lncRNA (ENSCCNG00000024003.1)
Source: RNAcentral